This 68-nucleotide transfer RNA is filed under the name Palaemon gravieri. RNAcentral describes it as "tRNA-Gln". The record is from RNAcentral. Lineage: Eukaryota; Metazoa; Arthropoda; Malacostraca; Decapoda; Palaemonidae. RNAcentral also lists the same sequence under 1 other name.
UAUAUUUUGGUGUAAAAGCACACAAAGUUUUGAUCUUUGCGGGAAUGGUGUAAUUCCGUUAAAUAUAA